UGGCGGCGUGCCUAAUACAUGCAAGUCGGACGGAGGCAUCAGYGAUGGUGUCUUAGUGGCGAACGGGUGAGUAACGCGUUGGUGACCUGCCCCGAAGAGCGGGAUAACAGAUCGAAAGGUCUGCUAAUACCGCAUGAGCUCUCACGGGUUAGAGGGGUGAGAGGAAAGGCCGGAAGGCGCUUUGGGAGGGGCCUGCGUCCCAUCAGCUAGUUGGCGGGGUAAAAGCCCACCAAGGCGAUGACGGGUAGGGGGCCUGAGAGGGUGACCCCCCACAAUGGAACUGAAACACGGUCCAUACACCUACGGGUGGCAGCAGUAGGGAAUAUUGGGGAAUGGGCGAAAGCCUGACCCAGCAACGCCGCGUGCGCGAAGAAGGCCUUCGGGUUGUAAAGCGCUUUUCUCAGGGAUGAGGAAGGACAGUACCUGAGGAAGAAGUCUCGGCUAACUACGUGCCAGCAGCCGCGGUAACACGUAGGAGACGAGCGUUAUCCGGAUUUACUGGGUGUAAAGCGCGUGUAGGCGGCGAGGUAAGUUGGAUGUGAAAGCUCCCGGCUUAACUGGGAGAGGUCGUUCAAGACUGCCUGGCUAGAGUGCAGCAGAGGGGAGUGGAAUUCCGAGUGUAGCGGUAAAAUGCAUAGAUAUUCGGAAGAACACCAGUGGCGAAGGCGGCUCUCUGGGCUGCAACUGACGCUCAGACGCGAAAGCUAGGGGAGCGAACGGGAUUAGAGACCCCGGUAGUCCUAGCCGUAAACGAUGUGAACUAGGCGUAGGCGGGUUGAAAUCCGUCUGUGCCGGAGCAAACGCGAUAAGUUCACCACCUGGGGACUACGGCCGCAAGGUUAAAACUCAAAGGAAUUGACGGGGGCCCG
This 869-nucleotide ribosomal RNA is filed under the name uncultured bacterium. Its description in RNAcentral is "bacterial SSU rRNA". It matches the Rfam family "Bacterial small subunit ribosomal RNA", at positions 37 to 923 of the family's 1533-position model. The record is from RNAcentral.